AACUUUCAGCAACGGAUCUCGCAUCGAUGAAGAACGCAGCGAAAUGCGAUAAGUAAUGUGAAUUGCAGAAUUCAGUGAAUCAUCGAAUCUUUGAACGCACCUUGCGCUCCUUGGUAUUCCGAGGAGCAUGCCUGUUUGAGUGUCAUUAAUAUAUCAACCUUCUCUUUUUGAGUGGUUUGGAUGUGGGGGUUUGCUGGCCUCUUAAAAGGUCUUGGCUCUCCUGAAAUACAUUAGCAGAACAACCCUGUUCAUUGGUGUGAUAACUAUCUACGCUAUUGAAUGUGAAGGGCAGUUUGGCUUUCUAACAGUCCUUGGACAAGCUCAUCAUUAAUGUGACCUCAAAUCAGGUAGGACUACCCGCUGAACUUAAGCAUAUCAAUAAGCGGAGGCU
This 391-nucleotide unclassified non-coding RNA is filed under the name uncultured Cortinarius. RNAcentral's name for it is "sequence contains ITS2". The stretch from base 1 to 145 matches the Rfam family "5.8S ribosomal RNA". The record is from RNAcentral. Lineage: Eukaryota; Fungi; Basidiomycota; Agaricomycetes; Agaricales; Cortinariaceae.